GGUGUUGGGGGAUGUGAAUAAAUCAGAACCCUCAUAUGCUGCUGAUUGGAAUUAAAAAUAGUGUGACUGCUUUGGAAAACAGUCUAGCAAUUUUUCAAAAUGUUCAAAAUGGAGUUACCAUAUGAUACAGCAAUUCAACUGGUAGGCAUAUAGAAGAGAAACGAAGAUGUAUGUCUACACAAAAACUUGAACAUGAAUAUUCUUUGCAGGAUUACUCAUAAGAAUCAAAAGGUAGAGGAGUGCCUGGGUGGAUCAUUAUAUAAGCCUCCAACUGUUAAUGACACAAAUGCCCAUCAAAAAAUAGGACAGAUGUGCCUGGAUGGCUCAGUCAGUAGAGCAUGUGACUUUUGAUCUUGGAGUCAUGAGUUGAACCCCAUUUUGGGCAUAGAGAUUAGUUAAAAAAAAAAAAAAGGAGAGCAAAAUAAAAUAGGAUUUAUUCUUAUUAUGGGAGAUUACCUAA
Long non-coding RNA from Herpailurus yagouaroundi (jaguarundi), 460 nucleotides. RefSeq lists it as uncharacterized. NCBI's taxonomy places the organism in Eukaryota, Metazoa, Chordata, Mammalia, Carnivora, Felidae. The transcript is spliced from 2 exons. The record is from RefSeq and is a predicted model, not a curated record.